RNAcentral lists this ribosomal RNA (389 nucleotides) under fungal sp. Cul2_12. RNAcentral's name for it is "eukaryotic LSU rRNA". It matches the Rfam family "Eukaryotic large subunit ribosomal RNA", at positions 38 to 422 of the family's 3401-position model. The record is from RNAcentral. Lineage: Eukaryota; Fungi.
GCAUAUCAAUAAGCGGAGGAAAAGAAACUAACAAGGAUUCCCCUAGUAACGGCGAGUGAAGCGGGAAGAGCUCAAAUUUAAAAUCUGGCUUGCUUGCAAGUCCGAGUUGUAGUCUGAAGAAGCGUUUUCCAUGAAAGCUGAGGCACAAGUCCUUUGGAACAGGGCAUCAUAGAGGGUGAGAAUCCCGUCCAUGGUCUCAUGCAUUUCAUUUUGUGAUACGUUUUCUAAGAGUCAGGUUGUUUGGGAAUGCAGCCUAAAAUGGGUGGUAAAUUUCAUCUAAAGCUAAAUAUUGGCGAGAGACCGAUAGCGAACAAGUACCGUGAGGGAAAGAUGAAAAGAACUUUGAAAAGAGAGUUAAAAAGUACGUGAAAUUGUUGAAAGGGAACCGU